RNAcentral lists this ribosomal RNA (759 nucleotides) under uncultured Citrobacter sp. Its description in RNAcentral is "bacterial SSU rRNA". It matches the Rfam family "Bacterial small subunit ribosomal RNA", at positions 51 to 799 of the family's 1533-position model. Lineage: Bacteria; Pseudomonadati; Pseudomonadota; Gammaproteobacteria; Enterobacterales; Enterobacteriaceae. The record is from RNAcentral.
ACACAUGCAAGUCGAACGGUAGCACAGAGGAGCUUGCUCCUUGGGUGACGAGUGGCGGACGGGUGAGUAAUGUCUGGGAAACUGCCCGAUGGAGGGGGAUAACUACUGGAAACGGUAGCUAAUACCGCAUAAUGUCGCAAGACCAAAGAGGGGGACCUUCGGGCCUCUUGCCAUCGGAUGUGCCCAGAUGGGAUUAGCUAGUAGGUGGGGUAACGGCUCACCUAGGCGACGAUCCCUAGCUGGUCUGAGAGGAUGACCAGCCACACUGGAACUGAGACACGGUCCAGACUCCUACGGGAGGCAGCAGUGGGGAAUAUUGCACAAUGGGCGCAAGCCUGAUGCAGCCAUGCCGCGUGUAUGAAGAAGGCCUUCGGGUUGUAAAGUACUUUCAGCGAGGAGGAAGGUGUUGUGGUUAAUAACCGCAGCGAUUGACGUUACUCGCAGAAGAAGCACCGGCUAACUCCGUGCCAGCAGCCGCGGUAAUACGGAGGGUGCAAGCGUUAAUCGGAAUUACUGGGCGUAAAGCGCACGCAGGCGGUCUGUCAAGUCAGAUGUGAAAUCCCCGGGCUCAACAUGGGAAAUGCAUCCGAAACAGGCAGGCUAGAGUCUUGUAGAGGGGGGUAGAAUUCCAGGUGUAGCGGUGAAAUGCGUAGAGAUCUGGAGGAAUACCGGUGGCGAAGGCGGCCCCCUGGACAAAGACUGACGCUCAGGUGCGAAAGCGUGGGGAGCAACCAGGAUUAGAUACCCUGGUAGUCCACG